UCCAGCUCCAAUAGCGUAUACUAAAGUUGUUGCGGUUAAAAAGCUCGUAGUUGGAUCUUGGAGCGUGUGCUUGCGGUCAUGCCUAUGGUGUGCACUGCUUGACGUGUUCUUCUAUUUGGUUGCGCGUGUGUGUUGCAUUAGUUUGUUGCCACACUCGACCGAAACGUUUACCUUGAAAAAAUUAGAGUGUUCAAAGCAGACCUGUUUGUGUCUGAAUAUUCGUGCAUGGAAUAAUGAAAUAUGAAUUCGGUUCUAUUUUGUUGGUUUUCGGAACUCGAGUUAAUGAUUAAGAGGGACAGACGGGGGUAUUAGUACUCUGCCGUUAGAGGUGAAAUUCUUGGAUCGGCGGAAGACUCGCAACUGCGAAAGCAUUUGCCAAGAAUGUUUUCUUUAAUCAAGAACGAUAGUCGGAGGUUCGAAGACGAUCAGAUACCGUCCUAGUUUCGACUGUAAACUAUGCCAGCUAACGAUCAGACAGCGUUCUCUACGACUUGUCUGGCAGUUUCCGGGAAACCAAAGCUUUUGGGUUCCGGGGGAAGUAUGGUUGCAAAGCUGAAACUUAAAGGAAUUGACGGAAGGGCACCACCAGGAGUGGAGCCUGCGGCUUAAUUUGACUCAACACGGGGAAACUCACCCGGCCCGGACACAGUGAGGAUUGACAGAUUGAGAGUUCUUUCUUGAUUCUGUGGGUGGUGGUGCAUGGCCGUUCUUAGUUGGUGGAGCGAUUUGUCUGGUUAAUUCCGAUAACGAACGAGACUCUGGCAUGUUAAAUAGUCGCGGAAGUAUUUUUGCUUGCCGAUUUGACUUCUUAGAGGGACAAGUGAUUCUAAUCACACGAGAUUGAGCAAUAAC
This 852-nucleotide ribosomal RNA is filed under the name uncultured eukaryote. RNAcentral describes it as "SSU rRNA". It matches the Rfam family "Eukaryotic small subunit ribosomal RNA", at positions 584 to 1457 of the family's 1831-position model. The record is from RNAcentral.